GGGUUGUGAGGUUAAGCGACUAAGCGUACACGGUGGAUGCCCUGGCAGUCAGAGGCGAUGAAGGACGUGCUAAUCUGCGAUAAGCGUCGGUGAGGUGAUAUGAACCGUUAUAACCGGCGAUUUCCGAAUGGGGAAACCCAGUGUGUUUCGACACACUAUCAUUAACUGAAUCCAUAGGUUAAUGAGGCGAACCGGGGGAACUGAAACAUCUAAGUACCCCGAGGAAAAGAAAUCAACCGAGAUUCCCCCAGUAGCGGCGAGCGAACGGGGAGGAGCCCAGAGCCUGAAUCAGUGUGUGUGUUAGUGGAAGCGUCUGGAAAGGCGUGCGAUACAGGGUGACAGCCCCGUACACAAAAAUGCACAUAUUGUGAGCUCGAUGAGUAGGGCGGGACACGUGGUAUCCUGUCUGAAUAUGGGGGGACCAUCCUCCAAGGCUAAAUACUCCUGACUGACCGAUAGUGAACCAGUACCGUGAGGGAAAGGCGAAAAGAACCCCGGCGAGGGGAGUGAAAAAGAACCUGAAACCGUGUACGUACAAGCAGUGGGAGCCUCUUAAUGGGGUGACUGCGUACCUUUUGUAUAAUGGGUCAGCGACUUAUAUUCUGUAGCAAGGUUAACCGAAUAGGGGAGCCGAAGGGAAACCGAGUCUUAACUGGGCGUUAAGUUGCAGGGUAUAGACCCGAAACCCGGUGAUCUAGCCAUGGGCAGGUUGAAGGUUGGGUAACACUAACUGGAGGACCGAACCGACUAAUGUUGAAAAAUUAGCGGAUGACUUGUGGCUGGGGGUGAAAGGCCAAUCAAACCGGGAGAUAGCUGGUUCUCCCCGAAAGCUAUUUAGGUAGCGCCUCGUGAAUUCAUCUCCGGGGGUAGAGCACUGUUUCGGCAAGGGGGUCAUCCCGACUUACCAACCCGAUGCAAACUGCGAAUACCGGAGAAUGUUAUCACGGGAGACACACGGCGGGUGCUAACGUCCGUCGUGAAGAGGGAAACAACCCAGACCGCCAGCUAAGGUCCCAAAGUCAUGGUUAAGUGGGAAACGAUGUGGGAAGGCCCAGACAGCCAGGAUGUUGGCUUAGAAGCAGCCAUCAUUUAAAGAAAGCGUAAUAGCUCACUGGUCGAGUCGGCCUGCGCGGAAGAUGUAACGGGGCUAAACCAUGCACCGAAGCUGCGGCAGCGACACUAUGUGUUGUUGGGUAGGGGAGCGUUCUGUAAGCCUGUGAAGGUGGCCUGUGAGGGUUGCUGGAGGUAUCAGAAGUGCGAAUGCUGACAUAAGUAACGAUAAAGCGGGUGAAAAGCCCGCUCGCCGGAAGACCAAGGGUUCCUGUCCAACGUUAAUCGGGGCAGGGUGAGUCGACCCCUAAGGCGAGGCCGAAAGGCGUAGUCGAUGGGAAACAGGUUAAUAUUCCUGUACUUGGUGUUACUGCGAAGGGGGGACGGAGAAGGCUAUGUUGGCCGGGCGACGGUUGUCCCGGUUUAAGCGUGUAGGCUGGUUUUCCAGGCAAAUCCGGAAAACCAAGGCUGAGGCGUGAUGACGAGGCACUACGGUGCUGAAGUGACAAAUGCCCUGCUUCCAGGAAAAGCCUCUAAGCAUCAGGUAACAUCAAAUCGUACCC
RNAcentral lists this ribosomal RNA (1613 nucleotides) under Escherichia coli. RNAcentral describes it as "partial 23S ribosomal RNA". It matches the Rfam family "Bacterial large subunit ribosomal RNA", at positions 1 to 1649 of the family's 2925-position model. Lineage: Bacteria; Pseudomonadati; Pseudomonadota; Gammaproteobacteria; Enterobacterales; Enterobacteriaceae. The record is from RNAcentral.